RNAcentral lists this ribosomal RNA (468 nucleotides) under uncultured bacterium. RNAcentral's name for it is "partial 16S ribosomal RNA". It matches the Rfam family "Bacterial small subunit ribosomal RNA", at positions 28 to 507 of the family's 1533-position model. The record is from RNAcentral.
GACGAACGCUGGCGGCGUGCUUAACACAUGCAAGUCGAACGGAAAGGCCCUGCUUUUGUGGGGUGCUCGAGUGGCGAACGGGUGAGUAACACGUGAGUAACCUGCCCUUGACUUUGGGAUAACUUCAGGAAACUGGGGCUAAUACCGGAUAGGAGCUCCUGCUGCAUGGUGGGGGUUGGAAAGUUUCGGCGGUUGGGGAUGGACUCGCGGCUUAUCAGCUUGUUGGUGGGGUAGUGGCUUACGAAGGCUUUGACGGGUAGCCGGCCUGAGAGGGUGACCGGCCACAUGGGGACUGAGGUACGGCCCAGACUCCUACGGGAGGCAGCAGUGGGGAAUAUUGCACAAUGGGCGGAAGCCUGAUGCAGCAACGCCGCGUGCGGGAUGACGGCCUUCGAGUUGUAAACCGCUUUCGCCUGUGACGAAGCGUGAGUGACGGUAAUGGGUAAAGAAGCACCGGCUAACUACGUG